GCGUUUGCAUAUUCGCCACACCGCCGUGUUCUCCCCUAGUGUGGUGUAACACUACAUUACAUAUAUAUACAUACGAGCAUAUAUAUAGCGAAGCAAAUAAAACUGACUCGACAGCCGGAAAGCACAAGCAAUCACCUGUUCUUGCCCUUUUCCAUUUCCCGUGUUUCUCGUUCUCCUUUAACCUUCACCACGAACUGAACUCGCAUCCAUAUCCUUUACCUCGUGUCGACUCUGUACGUGCACGGGUGUUCGUUUGUGCUUGUAUGCACAUCAUAAAAGUCACCUGACAGCAUACUUUUAGUGGUAAACUGCACGCGCGCAGACACUCGAAAAGCCUUCCUCGUGCUCUCGUUGCUAUUGCUGCUGCGCUUUCCUGGUGUUCGGCCUUUGGGCCCCUCGCGCACGCGGAAAAAAAAAACAAGCCACGGUCGGUUCACUGCUCUUGCUUUCUGUGCUGUAUUGCCCCGCAUUCAACUUGUGACGCUUCGCCCACACCGGCACCUUUCAUAGCAGCUCGUCAUUCGCGCAUGCUUUGUUUUGUGUGUGCGUGUGUGUCUGCGCCGUUGCCUCUCCUCUCACCGCCCCCUUCCCUCACGCUGGCGGUACUCCCUCUUCGGAACCCCCGUGUGUUUGUCUCCCUCCUGAUCUCUCCCCUCCUUGGCAACGGAAGCUGUUUGCACUGUAGGCGGUUUUCAUAGGGUGCCCCCAUGUCGGAAAGCGCAGAGACGAGUGCGUCGCUGGCGGAACGCCAUGCUGACCCGAUGGACAUGGAGGCGGUCGAGGAAGAGCUCAAUGUCGGGAAGCUGGAGCAGCUGGACGACGAGGCGAACUCGAAGUUGUUCAAUCACAGCCGCGCCGAAGUCGAGCGGCUUCGCAACCUCACCCCAGACAUGAUAAGGAACAUGGACUCGCACAUCGAAUAUGCAGUCGAUGCCUUCUUUGCCAACAGAAUCGCUGACUGCGAGGCGACGCUGAGGAGUCGCAUGAGCGAAGACCCUCUGGCGGUGUGCGGAGCUGGACUGAUUGCAUUUGUGCGCUGCGGCCUCUCGAUGGAGCAGGCGCAGGCAGACAUAGCACUCGAGCUACUCACCAGGUCAAGCGCGCUCGCCACACAGGUGAUGUCCAGGGAGAAGAGCAUGCUAUCCCGAGGUUUUUCUAAGGUGUUUCAGCGCAAUAAGGAGACGGAGGGGAACUGGCUCAGCGCCGCGGAGUUCCGCGCGAAAACAAUGCACGCGGAGAGCCAGGCCCUGCGCUGCUUCGUCUUCGUGCUCCAGCAGUCUGUCUCAGCGCUCGUGAAGGCUGGACUAGCGCUGAACCGCGCGAACAGCAGCUACAAGUCCCUCUACAUGGAGCUAGAGCACCGCUACAAGGCCAAGUACGGAGGCAAAGAGACCGUCAAGACGUCCCAGCACAAGCCCGCGGCUGCCGAGGAGGGGGACAGCGACGUGAAUUCACCGCUGCGGUCUCCAAGCUGGUUAACCGCAAGACACGCCUCCCUCGAACAAAGUGCCGCGCUAGAGACACUCGGCCUCGACCGCAACUCGGUGCACUGCGUCGAGUUCGGCCUCGGUGCAAUGAAGCUCGCACUUUCCAUCCUGCCAGACAACGUUCGAGCUGUGCUCCGCUUCAUCGGCGUCGAAGGCGACCGGCAGGAAGGACUGAAGCUUGUCCGCCAGUGUUUCAAGAGCGACACGCUGCUGUCGCCUUUUGCCAGUGCCCUGCUGCUUGCACUCUACGGCAUGCUGCCAGCGACGUCGGCGUUUUUGGUCGAUUCCUACCUGCCCGUUGCACACGAAGUGCGCACAGAGGUGCUGCAGAAGGAAAAAAUGCGCGAGUCGAUUUUGCAUCUCUGGCUCGACGGUCGUAUCGAGCGGCUGACGCGCUCCGUAGAUCUGAGUAUUUCUAAGCUGAAUAACUGCCUUGCUAUUGCGAGUAACUCACAGCUGCUUGCUGCCAUGCCGCAGCUCCGCGACUUCGUCCUGUACGAUCAGUGGUUCAACUACGCCAUUGUGCACCAGUGGAAGCGUGCGAGCCGGUGCCUCGAGAUCCUCUCGAAGACGUCCAAGUGGGCAAAUGCCGUGUACCAGUACACGCAGGCGUGCUGUCUUGAGAUGCUCGAGAUGGAAUGGGCAGAGGGGAUCGAGAACCCCGACGGCGCGCUGGACUUUCCGCUGGAGGAUCUAAACCGCAUCCUUGGCUCGAGCGAGGAGAAGGUGGGGCUGACCUUCUCCGACGUCUCCACACGAAAGGCGAUCGCUGAGACCAUCACCCAGCUCUACUGGGAGGCAGCGCAGCGCAAACCUGUCACACUUGGCGGGAAGCCGAAUCACAACGACCAGUUCGUGCUGAAGCGAAUGGAGGAGAUCCUGGUGAGCCACGGCAUUACCCCGUCCACCGUGGUUGCAAAGAAGAAGCUGGGCGAGCCGCUGGAACCCGUUCCGGAAGGUCUUAUCAUUCGAAAUAUCGUGCCGCUGCCAGCGUAUGAAAAGUGUCUAAUUGCGGGCAUCGCCCAUCAGUACCCUGCGGAGCGCAAAGAAAAGAUGGUGGCCUUGAUCGACGCGUACCUUUUGCGGGAGCCGGUGCAGUGCAACACCCCACUGUCCGACUAUGUGGACUCGAUGCGGGAGCGCAGCAAGGGAAAAGCGACGUCGCGGUCACUGGCUUUCUCCUCGAAGGCGGCAUCGGAGGGGUCGCCUGUGUCGAGGGAGGUUGCCUCGCCUGCUGCAUCCCCGAACCCGCACGAACCCAGAGCCUCCCUCCCUGAGAACUACCGGCUGUUAUGCCUAUGCGUCUACAAGUCUAUGCUGCUGGCGAACAGCGAGUCGAAGAAGGACCGGCAAGCUGCCUUGGAGGUGAUCAAAGCAAUUCGAGACACGCCCCAGUACAAGGAUCGGCAGUGGAGUCUCUCCUACGCACAGGCUUUUGCACUGUACGACAAGGCCUAUAUCGCGUACCGCGAUGAGAGUCUUGAGGCGGCCGAGUCCAUCAUGAACCAGCUGCAUAAGCAGUACGAUUCCGCCCAUUACUACAUGCACGCCAAGAUGGACCUCAAGGCGCACCUCGCCUCAUAUCACCUGCAGGAAGAGAGGCAGGCGAGGGCGGCGAAGCUCACAAAGUAGCGCCCGGAUACGGUAUGGGAAGAGAGCGAUACCCUGAUGAAACGAGGGUUGCACCUGCAGAUGGGCCCCGAUGUGUGUCCUUGAGCAGGGGAAAGUCAUGGCAGCAGCGCAUUCUGCCUGCCUCAUGAUGCUCAUGGGGUGCCAGUUGUCACAAAAACCGAUGCCCAAGAAGGCGUCGCGCAUCGAGCAAUGUGCUGAUGUAGUAGUGACUGAGGCUUGGUACCUCCCCCCCCCCCCCAAAAAAAAAAGAGGUGCAAAAGGUGCCUGAAAGUCUUCCAUCUUUUUCCCCUUGUUUGUCUCGCAUGUAAAACGUCGUCACGUUUCUCUCGGUAAUGGCUGGCGUUUGCAAACGGAGCGACUGCGUUUUUCGUAUUCGUUUUCUCAUGCAUACGUACAUGCGUCGAUGGUUUCAGAGCUCAAUGUAUGGUUGCACGUGGGUUCUUCAUGGUGCAUCUGUGUUUUAGUCCACGCAGCUCUGAUUGAUGGCGACGUUCUAUUAUCUUUAUCCCUGUGUGGCGAGCGUGAGUGUUUUCAUUUUUUUUUCGUUGGUGUAUGCUUGGUGUGGUUGGGUUUACUGCGAUUCAUUUGUUUUUGUAGUCUAAAAGCCUGCCUUACUUAUCUGUCGUUUUUCUCUACUGGUCUUACCACAUACUCUUCGUUUAGAGCACGGCGUGUCUGUGGUUGAGCAAUGCCGUGCUCGCCAGUGGCAGGUGGAAUACCUGAGGGUGUGAAGUGUGCAGGCUCGUCGUCCAUAUUCGCGUAUGCAUCUGCGCACAUGCGUACAUGUUCUGGCUUAGUGUUUUCUUUUUCGAAACUCUCUCUUCGUUUUCGGUUCGGAAUUCUCCUCCUCCAUUGCCCCGCCUUUGGUUUGCUAGUGCGUGUUUGCCUUUCCACCCUCGAACCUUCCCAAGUACGCCACGAUGAACCGUGUAUGUGGGUGCUAUGAGCUGCUCUUUCAGUUUUUGUUGUUUGUAAUCACUAUAUCUGUGUGUGUGUGUGUGUGUGUCAUCUAGGUCCCUAUUUCCUUUCCUUCACAGCAGUGCGUAGUCAUGCAACUUUUUUGUUGCCGUUUCUGACUUGUGAUAUAUAUGUGAAUCUGGAUGGCGUUGGAGAAGGGGGCGCACACGUCUCAGUGCGUGGCAUCACAGGAUCCAGUGUCUACGACAUAGGAGAAGGCUAGAGAGAUGUAUCACAACUGAAGUCGGCGCUCCGGUCCUGGACAGCGUUUCGUCGGAGCAACCUACGACAGUGCACGCGCUGCUGCCAUCCAUACGGUAGGCGAAGUGCCAACGCAACUCGAGCGUAACUCACCCGGCCCUCGCACUGCCAACCGGUGGCGAGCAUGACUGCCACCCCAAGGGAGAUGCGCCAGGUGGCGACCAGCGUACUGGAAGCGGCUGUGGAGCGACCUGCAGAGCGCGGGUGGUGGGCAGGGCUUGGUUUAGAGACCGCGUUCAGCUGACGAAGUCGGGGCACAUGACCGUGAGGCUUUUCAACCACUGCUUUGCACCACUCGAUUGAGGUCUGUGACUGAGUAGAGGUAGACCAGAGGUGAGCUUAUGCUGUAUGAUAGAGUGGACACGUUGCACGCAAAAAUAAAAACAACUUGUCCUACUAAUGUCUCAUUUGAUUUAUAUUUUUAUUUGCUCCGCUUUUUGCUUUCUCACGCAACUGUGCGGCUUUCUGUGUCUGCAGUCGUAUACGUGUUCCCUUUUCGAAUGUGCCCACGUGUAUUAUAGCGGACGGUUCAUAGCCGCUUGUGUCCUCUUGCAGUGCACACGCAGCCGCGCACCGCAGCCACUUGCCUCAUUUUGAAAACGCGGGCACCGGCACACGCGCUCGCAUGCCCUGCGCACUGUUCUCAUAGGAGGCUAAACAAGAAAAACAACAGCAACCUAUGCCAACAGAAAACGGUGAUAUAAGCCCGAGAACGCCUACACAUACACACGCACCCCAGCGUUUUUCGCACCGCUGUCCUUUUUUGUUUCAACACCCAGCUUUUUUUUUGUGGUAAUUCCGCCUUGCGCGAAGUGAGAGCGCGUGGUGUGUAAAGGCAGUGCGACGAAGGGACGAAGGGAUUUCCUGUGUUUGAUCAUUUCAUUUCUGGCGGCCUUCUCUCUCUCGCUGCUGCAUAUAUUUUACUGUUCUGCUUCUCUCUCACUUUUUUUUUCGUUGUUGUUGCUUCGUGGUUGCGAGAAGCGUGCCUUUUCACUGCAUGUGUUGUGUGCGUUGUGUCCCUUCCCCCCCCUCCUAGACCGCUUCACGUUGCGCUCUCCUCCUUGCCUGCCUGCCUAUUACGCAUUUGUUUUGCCGACUGACAGACGUGUCUUUUAGCUGUUUUUUUUUUUUUGAUUUUCUGUUUGUUUUGUUUGGGGGAGUUGGAAGAGGAGAAGAGGGUGGCACCCCGAAAAGAAUUACCGCCCGAACAUUCGAGCUGAAUCAG
This 5562-nucleotide unclassified non-coding RNA is filed under the name Leishmania donovani. RNAcentral describes it as "gene:LdHU3.34.2440(CDS-product:Protein_of_unknown _function_(DUF3808)_putative)". The record is from RNAcentral. Lineage: Eukaryota; Euglenozoa; Kinetoplastea; Trypanosomatida; Trypanosomatidae.